RNAcentral lists this ribosomal RNA (253 nucleotides) under uncultured bacterium. RNAcentral's name for it is "partial 16S ribosomal RNA". It matches the Rfam family "Bacterial small subunit ribosomal RNA", at positions 524 to 776 of the family's 1533-position model. The record is from RNAcentral.
UACAGAGGGUGCAAGCGUUGUUCGGAAUCACUGGGCGUAAAGGGCGCGUAGGUGGCCUUCUAAGUUGAACGUGAAAUCCCUGGGCUCAACCCAGGAACUGCGUCCAAGACUGGGAGGCUUGAAUCCGGGAGAGGGAUGCGGAAUUCCAGGUGUAGCGGUGAAAUGCGUAGAUAUCUGGAGGAACACCGGUGGCGAAGGCGGCAUCCUGGACCGGUAUUGACACUGAGGCGCGAAAGCGUGGGGAGCAAACAGG